GGGGCCGUAGCUCAGUUGGUUAGAGCGGCGGACUCAUAAUCCGUUGGUCGCAGGUUCGAGCCCUGCCGGCCCCA
Molecule: transfer RNA, 74 nt
Filed under: Actinomycetota bacterium
Lineage: Bacteria; Bacillati; Actinomycetota
Description: tRNA-Ile
Rfam family: tRNA
About the family: Transfer RNA (tRNA) molecules are approximately 80 nucleotides in length.
Source: RNAcentral